CUACGGGGGGCAGCAGUGGGGAAUAUUGGACAAUGGGCGCAAGCCUGAUCCAGCAAUGCCGCGUGAGUGAUGAAGGCCUUAGGGUUGUAAAGCUCUUUUACCCGGGAUGAUAAUGACAGUACCGGGAGAAUAAGCUCCGGCUAACUCCGUGCCAGCAGCCGCGGUAAUACGGAGGGAGCUAGCGUUGUUCGGAAUUACUGGGCGUAAAGCGCGCGUAGGCGGCUGCUCAAGUCAGAGGUGAAAGCCCGGGGCUCAACCCCGGAACUGCCUUUGAAACUAGGUAGCUAGAAUCUUGGAGAGGUCAGUGGAAUUCCGAGUGUAGAGGUGAAAUUCGUAGAUAUUCGGAAGAACACCAGUGGCGAAGGCGACUGACUGGACAAGUAUUGACGCUGAGGUGCGAAAGCGUGGGGAGCAAACAGGAUUAGAUACCCUUGUAGUC
This 439-nucleotide ribosomal RNA is filed under the name uncultured bacterium. RNAcentral's name for it is "partial 16S ribosomal RNA". It matches the Rfam family "Bacterial small subunit ribosomal RNA", at positions 339 to 795 of the family's 1533-position model. The record is from RNAcentral.